RNAcentral lists this small RNA (531 nucleotides) under Pan troglodytes (chimpanzee). Its description in RNAcentral is "retained intron". The record is from RNAcentral. Lineage: Eukaryota; Metazoa; Chordata; Mammalia; Primates; Hominidae.
GAGUUCCUAGUAAAGUGGCGGGAGCCGCAGCUAUGGAGCCGCAGGAGGAGAGAGAAACGCAGGUUGCUGCGUGGUUAAAAAAAAUAUUUGGAGAUCAUCCUAUUCCACAGUAUGAGGUGAACCCACGGACCACAGAGAUUUUACAUCACCUUUCAGAACGCAACAGGGUCCGGGACAGGGAUGUCUACCUGGUAAUAGAGGACUUGAAGCAGAAAGCAAGUGAAUACGAGUCAGAAGCCAAGUAUCUUCAAGACCUUCUCAUGGAGAGUGUGAAUUUUUCCCCCGCCAAUCUCUCUAGCACUGGUUCCAGGUAUCUGAAUGCUUUGGUUGACAGUGCGGUGGCCCUUGAAACAAAGGAUACCUCGCUAGCUAGGUAAUUCUUAUGACAAUUUUAAUUUCUGCAAUCAUAUCUGCUAUAAGGUCUUAAAGACUUUUUGUUCUCAGCAUAAUUCUAUAUGAAAAAUUGGCAAUAAAUACAAAGCACUGAAUUUAGUUACUUCAUGUCUUUGCCAGUGAGUAUAAUUAAUUUGG